UACGUAGGGUGCAAGCGUUUAAUCGGAAUUACUGGGCGUAAAGCGUGCGCAGGCGGUUUUGUAAGUCUGACGUGAAAUCCCCCGGGCUCAACCUGGGAAUUGCGUUGGAGACUGCAAGGCUGGAGUCUGGCAGAGGGGGGUAGAAUUCCACGUGUAGCAGUGAAAUGCGUAGAGAUGUGGAGGAACACCGAUGGCGAAGGCAGCCCUCUGGGUCAAGACUGACGCUCAUGCACGAAAGCGUGGGGAGCAAACAGG
This 255-nucleotide ribosomal RNA is filed under the name uncultured bacterium. Its description in RNAcentral is "partial 16S ribosomal RNA". It matches the Rfam family "Bacterial small subunit ribosomal RNA", at positions 524 to 776 of the family's 1533-position model. The record is from RNAcentral.